This 1093-nucleotide small RNA is filed under the name Rattus norvegicus (Norway rat). Its description in RNAcentral is "uncharacterized LOC102550061". Lineage: Eukaryota; Metazoa; Chordata; Mammalia; Rodentia; Muridae. The record is from RNAcentral.
ACCCAGGUCCUCUGCAAGAAAGGUUCAGCUCUACUUGGAACGAGGGCAACUCUCCAUCUUGACUGUCUAUGUACCUGGUUCUUUAAAGGCAGCUUCCUCCCCUUCGUUCUGAUUCUGGCCCUGGGUAGGUGGAGGCCAUACCUCCUUGUACCCAGGAAGUAAGCUGUACUCAGUUCCUAAUCUGGGUAAACCAUUAAGCUUGGUUGUCUUCUGAAUGGGACCGGAAAUGGGGCCACUGUCACCUUCUUCUGCUUCAGAAGCUGUUUUUACAUCCAGAAGAGAGCGUCACAAACUGCGUAACUUACAAAUGGAAGAACCGUUCUGCAAAGUGCUAGAAGGUUCAACACCUGGCAAGGAACCAGCGUGAACCUGUGUUAGGGUCUCACUACGAUAACCGGGAUGGGCUGGAAACGCUCUCUGUAAAACGGUCUCGGCUCAAGCUCAAAGAUAUAUGUCUCCCAAGUGCUUGCAUUAGUGGCGCAUGACACUACCUACUGUGCUUCAUUUAGGAGAGCCUCACAUAGCUUACUCUGGCCUUGAGCUCGUUAUGCAGUAAAAGAUGAUCUUAAACUCCCCAUCUUCCUUACAAGAGCGCACCUAUCAUGGCCUCUUUCUGUGACACUGGUGAUCAGACCCAGGUUUGCACACAUCCUAGGCGAGCACUCCCCUAACUAAGCCAUGUUCCCAACAUACACCAACAAGCUGUGUGCUAUCAUACAGUGGUGGAACUGGCCAAGCUGUGCGGUGCUAUUCUUUUGUUGCUGUUGUUGUUUUGAGGCAGGGUUCCUGGAAUUCAAUAUGUGUACCAGGUUGGUCUCAAACUCACAGAAAACCACCCGCCUCUGCCUCGCAAAGAUGUGAGCCACCAUGCCUAGCAAGAGGACCUUAUUCUCUUCUCAAGAGACAAAAGAAUCUGCAAUUCCCUCUUAGAGAAGCCCACACCCAUGCUCUCGGGUAUUUUGUCCUUCCUUCUGAGUCUCUUAAUUCUAGUGAUUAAACCUAGUCUAGUGAUUAAAUUGAAAUACCCAAUUGAGGGGUUGAUGAGAUGGAUCAGUGGUCAAGAGCACUGGCUGCUCUUCCAAAAAACGAACAA